UCCUGGCUCAGAUUGAACGCUGGCGGCAGGCCUAACACAUGCAAGUCGAACGGUAACAGGAAGAAGCUUGCUUCUUUGCUGACGAGUGGCGGACGGGUGAGUAAUGUCUGGGAAACUGCCUGAUGGAGGGGGAUAACUACUGGAAACGGUAGCUAAUACCGCAUAACGUCGCAAGACCAAAAAGGGGGGACCUUCGGGCCUCUUGCCAUCGGAUGUGCCCAGAUGGGAUUAGCUAGUAGGUGGGGUAACGGCUCACCUAGGCGACGAUCCCUAGCUGGUCUGAGAGGAUGACCAGCCACACUGGAACUGAGACACGGUCCAGACUCCUACGGGAGGCAGCAGUGGGGAAUAUUGCACAAUGGGCGCAAGCCUGAUGCAGCCAUGCCGCGUGUAUGAAGAAGGCCUUCGGGUUGUAAAGUACUUUCAGCGGGGAGGAAGGGAGUAAAGUUAAUACCUUUGCUCAUUGACGUUACCCGCAGAAGAAGCACCGGCUAACUCCGUG
RNAcentral lists this ribosomal RNA (502 nucleotides) under uncultured bacterium. RNAcentral describes it as "bacterial SSU rRNA". It matches the Rfam family "Bacterial small subunit ribosomal RNA", at positions 17 to 507 of the family's 1533-position model. The record is from RNAcentral.